CAUGUAGGUGGUGCCUUAAGUUGGAUGUGAAAUCUCCUGGCUUAACUGGGAGGGGUCAUCCAAAACUGGGGCUCUUGAGGGCAGGAGAGGGAAAUGGAAUUCCCGGUGUAGCGGUGGAAUGCGUAGAUAUCGGGAGGAACACCAGUGGCGAAAGCGGUUUCCUGGCCUGCAUCUGACACUAAUAUGCGAAAGCUAGGGGAGCAAACG
RNAcentral lists this ribosomal RNA (207 nucleotides) under uncultured bacterium. Its description in RNAcentral is "partial 16S ribosomal RNA". It matches the Rfam family "Bacterial small subunit ribosomal RNA", at positions 568 to 774 of the family's 1533-position model. The record is from RNAcentral.